UCUAAUAUGGCAGACUAGUGCCAUGGAUUUAAGCCCCAUUCAUAAAGUUAUCAACUUUUAUUAGAA
This 66-nucleotide transfer RNA is filed under the name Argyra pingwuensis. RNAcentral's name for it is "tRNA-Leu". Lineage: Eukaryota; Metazoa; Arthropoda; Insecta; Diptera; Dolichopodidae. The record is from RNAcentral.